GACAGAUCCCUUCGGGGUGAAGAUGAAAUGGAUUAGCGGCGGACGGGUGAGUAACACGUGAGUAACCUGCCUUAGACAUUGGGAUAGCCUCGGGAAACCGGGAUUAAUACCAAAUGAAAUCACAUAUGCACAUGCAUAAAUGAUCAAAGCUCCGGCGGUCUAAGAUGGACUCGCGUCCCAUUAGCUAGUUGGUGAGGUAACGGCCCACCAAGGCGACGAUGGGUAGCCGGCCUGAGAGGGUGAACGGCCACAUUGGAACUGAGAAACGGUCCAAACUCCUACGGGAGGCAGCAGUGGGGAAUAUUGCACAAUGGAGGGAACUCUGAUGCAGCGACGCCGCGUGAACGAAGAAGGCUUUCGAGUCGUAAAGUUCUUUUAUAUGGGAAGAUAAUGACGGUACCAUAAGAAAAAGCCCCGGCUAACUACGUGCCAGCAGCCGCGGUAAUACGUAGGGGGCUAGCGUUGUCCGGAAUCACUGGGCGUAAAGGGUUCGCAGGCGGAAAUGCAAGUCAGGUGUAAAAGGCAGUAGCUUAACUACUGUAAGCAUUUGAAACUGCAUAUCUUGAGAAGAGUAGAGGUAAGUGGAAUUUUUAGUGU
RNAcentral lists this ribosomal RNA (597 nucleotides) under uncultured Clostridium sp. RNAcentral's name for it is "bacterial SSU rRNA". It matches the Rfam family "Bacterial small subunit ribosomal RNA", at positions 68 to 676 of the family's 1533-position model. The record is from RNAcentral. Lineage: Bacteria; Bacillati; Bacillota; Clostridia; Eubacteriales; Clostridiaceae.